AGAGUUUGAUCCUGGCUCAGGAUGAACGCUGGCGGCAUGCCUAAUACAUGCAAGUCGAACGAGAGGAAGGAAAGCUUGCUUUUCUGAAUCUAGUGGCGAACGGGUGAGUAACACGUAGGUAACCUGCCCAUGUGCCCGGGAUAACUUCUGGAAACGGAUGCUAAAACCGGAUAGGUAGCAGACAAGCAUUUGACUGCUAUUAAAGUGGCUAAGGCCAUGAACAUGGAUGGACCUGCGGUGCAUUAGCUAGUUGGUGAGGUAACGGCCCACCAAGGCGACGAUGCAUAGCCGGCCUGAGAGGGCGGACGGCCACAUUGGGACUGAGACACGGCCCAAACUCCUACGGGAGGCAGCAGUAGGGAAUUUUCGUCAAUGGGGGGAACCCUGAACGAGCAAUGCCGCGUGAGUGAGGAAGGUCUUCGGAUCGUAAAGCUCUGUUGUAAGAGAAAAACGACAUUCAUAGGGAAUGAUGAGUGAGUGAUGGUAUCUUACCAGAAAGUCACGGCUAACUACGUGCCAGCAGCCGCGGUAAUACGUAGGUGGCGAGCGUUAUCCGGAAUGAUUGGGCGUAAAGGGUGCGUAGGUGGCAGAACAAGUCUGGAGUAAAAGGUAUGGGCUCAACCCGUACUGGCUCUGGAAACUGUUCAGCUAGAGAACAGAAGAGGACGGCGGAACUCCAUGUGUAGCGGUAAAAUGCGUAGAUAUAUGGAAGAACACCGGUGGCGAAGGCGGCCGUCUGGUCUGUUGCUGACACUGAAGCACGAAAGCGUGGGGAGCAAAUAGGAUUAGAUACCCUAGUAGUCCACGCCGUAAACGAUGAGAACUAGGUGUUGGGGGAAUAACUCAGUGCCGCAGUUAACGCAAUAAGUUCUCCGCCUGGGGAGUAUGCACGCAAGUGUGAAACUCAAAGGAAUUGACGGGGGCCCGCACAAGCGGUG
This 938-nucleotide ribosomal RNA is filed under the name human gut metagenome. Its description in RNAcentral is "bacterial SSU rRNA". It matches the Rfam family "Bacterial small subunit ribosomal RNA", at positions 8 to 934 of the family's 1533-position model. The record is from RNAcentral.